Long non-coding RNA from Acyrthosiphon pisum (pea aphid), 927 nucleotides. RefSeq lists it as uncharacterized. Lineage: Eukaryota; Metazoa; Arthropoda; Insecta; Hemiptera; Aphididae. The record is from RefSeq and is a predicted model, not a curated record. The transcript has 2 exons.
UUGUACUUUAUAUUUCUUUAACAAAAUCAAUGUUAUAAUAAUGUUUGUGUUUAUCGAAAGUAUGUAUAGGUAGUACAUAAUUUUUAGUAGUAGUAGGUGGGAUUAUUGUCUAAGGCAAUUAUUUAUGAAAAGAAAACAAAAAAAUCUCCUGAUAAAUUUCAGAAUUAAAUAAACAAUGAUUUAAAUUUAAAAGUUGUAAUAAUUUAUACAUAUAGUUAUAUAUUUUAAUUAUAUUAACAUUAAAGUAGGUUCCUAAUUUACUUCUAUAAUUAUGUUUGGAAGCGUAAUAACACAAAAUAUCCAUAUUUUUUUUUACAAAUUUUGGUUUAAACUUUUUAGUUUAAACUAAAAUAAUUAGUCCAUAAGUUUAUUAAUUCUAGCCUUUUUAUUUACUCAUAUAUUUUUUAAUGUUUGUUUACAGGAAUAUAUUACUCUACAUGGGACUUUACUAUCCUAGUUAAUAUUGUUUGGCAAUACAAAAUCAGUAAUUUGAAAUUUAACUUGAAGCUGUAAUUCAACAAAUUGCACAUAUCUCAGAAGUGAUGCAAUGAAGGAUUAAGAUGUAAUGUCUGUUUACCAAAAAUAUUUUCUUAAUCUUAAACAUUAUUUAUUCAUACUAAUUUAAUAUUGUAUCGUAUAUAAUAAACUACUAAUAAUUCUUUGUUUAAAUUUGUGAAAAGUGUAUGCUGUCAUUCAAACAAUGCACCAAGGCUCUAUAAGUAAUCAAGAAUCAUAAUUUAUUUUGGAAAAGAAAUAGAUAAUCUAAUAUUAAUGUAUAAAAAUCAAACAAUAUUACAAGUCAUCACUUAUAGUUGCUUGUUACUUGCAUUUUCUUUUCAGUUUACAUUUUUUAGUGCUGACGAGUCUACUGCAAUGCCACUUAUGUAUCGUUGUCCGAAAAACUGUGGUCGACGAUAUACACGAAAA